GACGAACGCUGGCGGCGUGCUUAACACAUGCAAGUCGAACGGAAAGGCCCUGCUUUUGUGGGGUGCUCGAGUGGCGAACGGGUGAGUAACACGUGAGUAACCUGCCCUUGACUUUGGGAUAACUUCAGGAAACUGGGGCUAAUACCGGAUAGGAGCUCCUGCUGCAUGGUGGGGGUUGGAAAGUUUCGGCGGUUGGGGAUGGACUCGCGGCUUAUCAGCUUGUUGGUGGGGUAGUGGCUUACCAAGGCUUUGACGGGUAGCCGGCCUGAGAGGGUGACCGGCCACAUUGGGACUGAGAUACGGCCCAGACUCCUACGGGAGGCAGCAGUGGGGAAUAUUGCACAAUGGGCGGAAGCCUGAUGCAGCAACGCCGUGUGCGGGAUGACGGCCUUCGGGUUGUAAACCGCUUUCGCCUGUGACGAAGCGUAAGUGACGGUAAUGGGUAAAGAAGCACCGGCUAACUACGUG
Molecule: ribosomal RNA, 468 nt
Filed under: uncultured bacterium
Lineage: Bacteria
Description: partial 16S ribosomal RNA
Rfam family: Bacterial small subunit ribosomal RNA
Source: RNAcentral